Homo sapiens (human) is the source of this 566-nucleotide long non-coding RNA. Ensembl annotates it as myosin heavy chain gene cluster antisense RNA. Its record names the gene MYHAS. The record is from Ensembl. NCBI's taxonomy places the organism in Eukaryota, Metazoa, Chordata, Mammalia, Primates, Hominidae.
GUUGGAGUAUUGGGAGGCCGAGGCAGGCGGAUCAUGAGAUAUUUUGUGCUGUUUUAGACUGCUCUUUCUUCCAUUAAAUGAGAGAUUAGAUCUGAAUGGCCACGUGAUCUUCUGAGUCCCAUCUGUAAGAAUCUGCAUUUCCACGGAAUUGGGGGAGCAAACGUUCUCAAAACAUUCUUAAAUGCAAACCCGCAGGCACAGCAUGUGUCUGUCAACUCCAAGAGCAUUUGGAUGUUCGAAGGGAGAGGAUGUUUGACAUCUAACCCGUCGUGGAAAGAGGAGCCUCUUAAGGAACCGGAAACCUGGAGAGUGAGAUGCCAAAGAUUAUGAAAGAAACUGGAAGGAAAGUGAAGACUGGAACAGAGAUUUUCUCAUUCCUGCUUGAGUGUUCUUCCAAUGACUGUGUGUGUGUAGCUUUGAAAAUACAAAGUAUUGGGAAUAGGAACUGUGAUACAAACAAAGACAGUGACAUGAAGGCAAUGGAUUCUCAGCAUUACAAGGCAAGACAGAACUUGAAGGAAGAAGGCUGGGAGGAAACCAAUGUUGAAUGAACACUGACUCUGUGC